Molecule: long non-coding RNA, 2085 nt
Organism: Metopolophium dirhodum (rose-grain aphid)
Lineage: Eukaryota; Metazoa; Arthropoda; Insecta; Hemiptera; Aphididae
Exons: 3
Source: RefSeq, a predicted model, not a curated record
CAUUAUAUUUUUGAUAAUAAUAUGCUUGCUUGUCUUAAUGUCUAUGUUGUAUUGUUGUAUUAUAAUUUAUUUGAUCAUUGAUUGAAGUACAUAUUUUGUGUAAUUUAAUAAGUCUUUUAAUAUUAACUACAUAAUUCAACACGAAGAGUAGUAGAGCCAAACUUAUGGUUAAACUUGGAGAAAGUAGCCAACAAGAGUAUAAUAGUAUCAACGUCAAACAAAUGCGAUCAGAGAAAUUAGCAUCAGAAAAUAAAUUUAUAAUUAACUAUGAGCUUCCAAACACUGUUGAAAAGGUAGAAGCAUGGUUACAAGACCCCCAAAAUGUUUAUAUGAGCGAUUCAUCACCUAAAUCUUACCAUACACUUACUCCAUGAAAAUUAGUGGGAAAAGAUCAAUCAGAUCUAUGGAACAUUUCAGAUGAAGGUAAUACAAUUUUUGGUCAAAUUAAUGACGGAGUUAUAGAAAAUCAUAUCAUGGGAAGUCAAAUUAAUAUUAAUUCAAUAACUUCAAAUAAUAAUAUUUUGAUUGGGGAAAUUGACAACUAUGAAUCCGGCAAUGUAUUUCAAAAUGAUAUUCCUAAUCAAUGUUCUGAAGUAUUUCAACAUUUUGAAAAUCAUAAUAAUGAUAACAUUAUUAUAUUCAACAAUGCAACAAAUAAUGAUGGAGUAACUUCGUUAACUAACAUUGCUGAUCAAACACCUGAGUUUACUAAUAUUAUUGAAAAUAAUAUUCUACAUUUUAAUUCUAAUUCUGAUCAAAUUGAAGAUGAAGUUGUACUUCUUAAAAGUAAAAAAAGGAAAAGUUUUGGUUCACUAAAAGAAGCAUGAAAAAAAAGAGAAAUAUGGGCCAGUCGUAUCAUACAGCUAAUAAAAAAAAAUUAAUAAAUGCUAAAGAAAUAAAAUUAGCUUGUGGAAAUAUCUGUAGACUAAAAUGCUCAUUGUCUAUAAGUAAAAUAAGUAGACAACAACUAUUCAAUUCUUACUGGCAGUUAGGAAAUGUAGAUAGACAAAGAGAUUUUUUAUCUAAAUGCAUUGAACUUGGCAAUGUACCUAAAUAUAGGUAUCCUCAUACAGUAACUAGAGACUUAAAUUAUUCAUAUAACUUUUGUAUAAAUAAUAUUAAACAUAGUCGGUAAAUUAUUUUUCAAAAAUACACUUGCUAUUAGUGAUAGACCAAUUCGAACAGUUAUUUCAAGACUAAACAACUAUGGAUUUAUUAAGGAAAAUAAACGUGGAAAACAUAAAAACCAUAAAAAACUUGACUUUGCAAUUAAACAAAGUGUUCGAGACCACAUAAACUCUAUACCUCGUAUCAAAAGCCAUUAUUUAAGAGCACAAACAACUAGAGAGUAUAUUGAAGGUGGAAAAUCUUUGGCUGACUUACAUAGAGAUUAUUCAUCUCUCAAGAAAGAAGAACAAUAUAUUCAAGAAAAAAUAGCUAAUUUAACCAUGUACUCAAGAAUUUUUAAUACAGAGUUUAAUAUUUCUUUUUUUGUUCCCAAAAAAGACCAAUUUUCUCUUUGUGAAUCAUACAAAAAUGCGGAUGACGAUGAAAAAGUACUUAAAGAUGAAAAUUAUUAGCUACAUUUGUCAGAAAAAAAUCUAAGUAGAACAGAAAAAGAAAAUGAUAAACAUUUGGCUUUAAAUGAUAUAAAUAGAAGUAACAUAUUAUUAGCAUGCUAUGACCUUCAGGCUGUACUUCCAACCCCUAGAGGUGAAGUAUCUGUAUUCUAUUAUAAAUCUAAAUUAUCCACUUACAAUUUUACUAUAUCUGAUAUUGUGAGAAAACAAUAAUUUUGUUAUGUUUGGAAUGAAGGUGAAGCAAAAAAAGGAGUUAAUGAAAUUGGAACAUCUAUAAUAAAAUUCUUAAAAUCUGAAUAUAACAAUGGAAAAACUGAAGUAAUUUUUUACUCGGAUAACUGUGCUGGACAAAACAAAAAUAAAUUUAUAACAUCAUUAUACUUGUACGCCAUUACAAAUAUAGAUAUUAAUUCGAUUACUUACAAGUUUUUAGUAGUUGGCCAUACUCAAAAUGAAGGAGACACUGCACAUACUGUCAUAGAGAAACAAAUUAAAAAAUCCUUAA